UACAGAGGGUGCGAGCGUUAAUCGGAAUUACUGGGCGUAAAGGGUGCGUAGGUGGUUGAAUGAGUUAGGUGUGAAAGUCCUGGGCUUAACCUGGGGAUUGCGCCUAAUACUGUUUGGCUAGAGUACUGUAGAGGGAAGUGGAAUUUCCGGUGUAGCGGUGAAAUGCGUUGAUAUCAAUCGGAACUCCGGUGGCGAAGGCGGCAUACUGGAUCUUAUCUGACGCUGAGGCGCGAAAGCUAGGGGAGCAAACGGG
Molecule: ribosomal RNA, 253 nt
Filed under: uncultured bacterium
Lineage: Bacteria
Description: partial 16S ribosomal RNA
Rfam family: Bacterial small subunit ribosomal RNA
Source: RNAcentral